Molecule: long non-coding RNA, 3567 nt
Filed under: Homo sapiens (human)
Lineage: Eukaryota; Metazoa; Chordata; Mammalia; Primates; Hominidae
Description: non-protein coding COX10-AS1:15
Source: RNAcentral
GCUUUAAAUAUGGUUACUAGCUGGAAGCAGUGGCUCACUUCUGUAAUUCCAGCACUUAGGGAGGCUAAGGUGGGAGUAUUGCUUGAGCCCAGGAGUUUGAGACCAGCCUAGGCAACAUAGUGAGACCUUGUCUCUAUUAAAAAAUUGUAAAAAAAAUUUUUUUAAAUGGUUAUUUUGUAAAUUUUAUGUUCAAACUCUUUUUUUAUUUUAGCUUGUUGCUUAUCUUUUAUUGAUUUUUGGACGUUAUAUAUCUUGAAUUUAAUCUAUUUUCCUGCCUUCAAUAUUGCUAUUUUUGCCCCAAUUUCUUCUAUCUCGAUUUGCUUAUUGUGUGUUUUGGUAAAUGGUUCUAUUGUAUCACAUAUCUUUUCAUUUAUGCUUUUACCUUCACUCUUAUAUGUAUAUAAAGACCAUACUUGCUCUAAAUUAUUUAAAGAUACUUUUAUGAUUUUUUUAGGUUGCUUUUUAAAUAUUUUUACCUAUGAUUCGCUUCAGCUUCAUUUUGAUGUAGGGAACUUAAUUCUUGCAGUUAAUGGUAGAUAAGCUACCAUUUGGCGAAUUACAUCAUUGAUAUGGCUUGGCUGUGUCCCCACCCAAAUCUCAUCUUGAAUUGUAACUCUCACAAUUCUCACAUGUCAUAGGAGGAAUCCAAUGGGAGGUGAUUGAAUUAUGGGGGCAAGUCUUUCCUGCACUGUUGUCGUGAUAGUGAAUGAAUCUCAUGAGAUCUGAUGGUUUUAAAAAUGGGAGUUUCCCUGCACAAGCUCUCUUUUUGCCAGCUGCCAUCCACGUAAGAUGUGACUUGCUCCUCCUUGCCUUCCACCAUGAUUGUGAGGCCUCCCUAGCCAUGUGGAACUGUAAGUCCAGUAAACCUCUUUCUUUUGUAAAUUGCCCAGCUUCAGGGAUGGCUUUGUCAGCAGUGUGAAAACAGACUAAUACAAUCAUGUAUCAAUUGACUUAAAAUAUCUCUUUUAGCAUAUACUAAAUAAGUGGGUUAGUUUCUGGUCCUUAUUUACAGUACAUUGAUUUCACUGUUGUAUCUUAUAUUUUGCCUAAACUUGUGGGACUUCACCCUUCAAUAGAGUAGUUUAAGCAUUUACUGUCAGUCCUCUAUACCAGUGGGGGAUUGGUUCCAGGACCCCCAGGAUGCCAAAAUCCAAGCAUGCAUAAAAAAUGGCAUAGUAUUUGCAUAUCACCCACACACAUCCUACUGUGUCCUUAAAAUAAUUUCUACAUUACUUAUAAUAUCUAAUAUAAUGUAAAUGCUAUGUAAAUUUUUCUUAUACUGUUAUUUUUAUCUUUUUAAUUAUUGUAUUAUUAUUCUUUAUUGUUCAUGUCUGAAUAUUUUAAAUAUGAGGUUGGUUGAAUUUGCAGUUGUGAAACCUGUAGAUGCAGAGGGCCAACUAUACAUUUAAUGUAAUGAGUGUUAUUUUUUCUUUUAUUUCUGUAGUUUUGUACUUUAUUUUUAAUGUUCUCUUAUUUUUCCUUUACUUUUAAUUUUUUGUUGUAUGGGCUGUAAUUCCUUUUCGUAACCACCUUUUCCUCUAGUGACUUAGAACAGAUACAUUCUGUUUUUGCUUCAUUGCCAUCGAUAACCUAAUUGGCAAUAACAAGUGCAAAACACUCAUGAGUCCUCUUUAUAUAAAAUGAAGAAACUAACACUCUUAUUUAACUUCUUACUUUGCUCUGCCAUCUCCUAGGUUUUGGCUGACAGAUAACAUAGGGCAGUGAUCAAAGGGUUUACCUUCUCUGUGCCUCAGCUGCCCCAUCUCGAAAGUGGGCAUAAUAGUAUCAUAGGGUUAUUAUGAAAAUAAAAUGACAUAGUGCACAGGAUGCAUUUACAACAGUGCCUAGCACAUGGUAAGUCAGCAGUAACAUUGUAAUGAUCAGUAAGAUUGAAUACAUCCUUUAACUUUUUAAAUGAUAAUCAUUACUUUACAUCAUGAAACUUUUUAUUCAUUAAUUACUUUUACAGCCUUAUCUGGGGAAUUAUUUAGACUUUAUGUUUUACUUUAAUAGUUUUCUCACCUACUCUCAAUUCUUUCAUAUCAUAGUUUUCUAUGUGAGGACUCUUUAUUGUGAUCCAUCUACUAGUUGAUUGGAAUAUUUCUUUGGGUAAUUUUAGGUUAUACAUGUAUUAUAGUUAUAUUAAGUUUGUAAGGGCCAAGGGGAAAAAAAUAAUGACUUUUACAAAUUCAGUUGAUUUUUUCUUUCAUAAAAAAAUCAUUAGGCAGUCUGGAGCUGCUGUGGAAGUUUAGUUUCACAGUCAUCAGGAUGCCCAUCUUAUUUUCAUUUUCAUUCCUAAGUAACAAAAUGGCUGCUGCAGCGCCAUCUAUCACAUCUUCUUCCAUCCAGCAUGAAGGAAGAAAGCCCAAAGAAGAGGUUGGACCCUCCUAUUAAGGAAUCUUCCUAGAAGUCAUCCUCUCAGCUCUUAAUCUGGGUGUCUGGUUACCAGUUCAGAAGCCGAAUAACGAGAUAGGCACUGCCACUCCUUAUGCCUAGAGGCAGGGGUGGGGAGGAGGAGAAUGACUGUUUUGUGGAAACCCCCAACUCAGAACCGCACAGAUGCCCUGCAGUUCCACCUCUGCAUGGUAGCCAAAGAGAGUCCUCUAAAUGAAGCAAUCUCUUUGAGCCUCUCAGCAUCCCCGCACUUCCAGCAUCACUCAACCCAGAAACAAUAGAAUCUACAAGGGGACUCCCUACAUGUUUCUUAUGAGGUCAGAAUUGCCAUCCUGGAAAGGUGAGUUACAGUGCUGCCCAGGUGAUUCUUGUGUGUUACUCUAUGUUAUAUCUAUUGUAUAAUCUCACAUUUAAAUAGCACCAUUCCUUUUAUUGCAAUGCUUAUGAAAACUUUCCUUGUUUUUAGGUUUCCUUCGUCAGUCCAGGCAGGACUGUGCGGUUGGAAAAGGGACGGAUGCUGGUCCUGGAAGGGGCGUCGUUAUCUAGAAGCUCCCAACCUAAGUGGGUGACUCAUAGGGAGGGCAAGGAGAGAAGGACACAGCAAGCAACUUACAUGUAAAACAAGACGUGUGGGUUAUUAUGGAAGAAAUUCACAACCAAACUUGGGGUUAGCCCGUAUUGUUUUCCAAGAACUCUAUGUGGACAGUGACAAAAAACAGACCUAAGAACUAGCAGACUGGGCAAAGCUUUUUCACAUAACAACAACAAAAAAAGCAAUUCCUCAGGAAAAAAUGGUCAAUGGGUCAUUGUGUGUAGACAAAACUACAAGUUCUGCUCCAGACUCUGGGGAAACCAUGCUGCCAUCUUCAAGCUGUGGCCAUUCUGUAAUACAGACUACGCUAAAUCACAUGUUGUCAUCAAGGCAGAAUAUUUUGUUCCUUUAUGGGUCAGCCUGGGAUACAAAAUUAGAGAAACUUUGCAAUGAAAAAUCCCUUGUGUCUCAUUGAACUUUUUCCUUAAUUCAAACCUUUCCUUUCACAGUUUUGAUUAGUGCCUUUGCCCAUGUGGACAAUAUUUUAUGAUCAGGUUUUAAGAGUAAUCCAUCCAUGGCUGCUUGGCUGCCUGGAACUUAAAACAACGACAACAACAAUGUCCAGAUAAACCCAAUAAAAU